Molecule: ribosomal RNA, 405 nt
Filed under: uncultured Limnobacter sp.
Lineage: Bacteria; Pseudomonadati; Pseudomonadota; Betaproteobacteria; Burkholderiales; Burkholderiaceae
Description: bacterial SSU rRNA
Rfam family: Bacterial small subunit ribosomal RNA
Source: RNAcentral
CAGCAGCCGCGGUAAUACGUAGGGUGCGAGCGUUAAUCGGAAUUACUGGGCGUAAAGCGUGCGCAGGCGGUUAUGUAAGACAGGUGUGAAAUCCCCGAGCUUAACUUGGGAAUUGCAUUUGUGACUGCAUGGCUAGAGUGUGUCAGAGGGGGGUGGAAUUCCACGUGUAGCAGUGAAAUGCGUAGAUAUGUGGAGGAACACCAAUGGCGAAGGCAGCCYCCUGGGAUAACACUGACGCUCAUGCACGAAAGCGUGGGGAGCAAACAGGAUUAGAUACCCUGGUAGUCCACGCCCUAAACGAUGUCAACUAGUUGUUGGGGAUYUACUUACUUGGUAACGUAGCUAACGCGUGAAGUUGACCGCCUGGGGAGUACGGCCGCAAGGUUAAAACUCAAAGGAAUUGAC